This 457-nucleotide long non-coding RNA is filed under the name Linum usitatissimum (flax). RNAcentral's name for it is "long non-coding RNA (LUSI_LNC001630)". Lineage: Eukaryota; Viridiplantae; Streptophyta; Magnoliopsida; Malpighiales; Linaceae. The record is from RNAcentral.
CGCUCGCCUUCACAGGAAUGUCGUUGUAGGCGUCGAAGUUGAUUCCGCUAUUGUUGACUUCGUCAACGUCAUCCCCUACAUCCAGUUCGUCAAAUUUCUCCACAAUCGCGUCGGAUACAGACGAUCCAUAGUCUUCGUUACUCGUUCCGCGACCUCCUCCUCGAACUCUACCUCCACCUCCGCGCCCGCGUCCUCGAAUCAAAUAAUCCGGCUGGCAGGGUACAGAGCGGCCACCGUACUGGUACUGAGGGUAGGCAGGAGAGCCUGCGUACACAGAACUGGAGUACGCUGAGUAACCGUAAGCAACAUUCUGAGGAGUUGGAGCAAGGUUCCGUUGGUAUGGAGGAACAUAGUGACCUCGCUGAGGACGAGCUCGACCGCCUGCACCACCGCCCCUGUAGGAGUAGUUCGGUUGGCCGCCGCCGCCUCCGCCUCCACCUCCGGUACUGCUUCCUCC